This 435-nucleotide ribosomal RNA is filed under the name uncultured fungus. RNAcentral's name for it is "LSU rRNA". It matches the Rfam family "Eukaryotic large subunit ribosomal RNA", at positions 38 to 469 of the family's 3401-position model. Lineage: Eukaryota; Fungi. The record is from RNAcentral.
GCAUAUCAAUAAGCGGAGGAAAAGAAAAUAACAAUGAUUCCCUUAGUAACGGCGAGUGAAGGGGGAAAAGCUCAAAUUUUAAAUCUGCUAGGUUUUACUUAUCAGAAUUGUAAUUUGAAGAAGCGUUUUCCGCGUCUCGGUUGGCCCAAAUCCUUUGGGAUAAGGUAUCAUGGAGGGUGAGAAUCCCGUUCGGUUGACCUUAUGAUGCUCUACGAUACGCUCUCUAAGAGUCGAGUUGUUUGGGAUUGCAGCUCAAAAUGGGAGGUAAAUUUCUCCUAAGGCUAAAUAUCGGCGAGAGACCGAUAGCGAACAAGUACCGUGAGGGAAAGAUGAAAAGAACUUUGAAAAGAGAGUAAAAUAGUACGUGAAAUUGUUGAAAGGGAAACGAUUGAAGUCAGUCGUACCGACGAGAAAUCAACUUAUCGUGUGCGAACU